GAUGAAGAACGUAGCGAAAUGCGAUACGUAAUGUGAAUUGCAGAAUUCAGUGAAUCAUCGAAUCUUUGAACGCACAUUGCGCCCGCCAGCACUCUGGCGGGCAUGCCUGUUCGAGCGUCAUUUCAACCAUCAAGCCCCAGGCUUGCGUUGGAGCCCUGCGGCUGCCGCAGCCUCCUAAAAGCAGUGGCGGGCUCGCUAUCACACCGAGUGCAGUAGAUUACUCUUCGCUCAGGGCGUGCAGCGGGUUCCGGCGGUGAAACCCCCUACUUUUAAAGGUUGACCUCGGAUCAGGUAGGAAUACCCGCUGAACUUAAGCAUAUCAAUAAGCGGAGGA
This 334-nucleotide unclassified non-coding RNA is filed under the name soil metagenome. RNAcentral's name for it is "partial contains 5.8S ribosomal RNA, internal transcribed spacer 2, and large subunit ribosomal RNA". The stretch from base 1 to 120 matches the Rfam family "5.8S ribosomal RNA", at positions 35 to 154 of the family's 154-position model. The record is from RNAcentral.